AGCAUAUCAACAUGAAAAUACUGUGCCUUAACAUUUUUUUUAGCAUGUUUAAGUAACUUUUCAGCAUGAUUAAUUAAUUUUUCAGCAUGUUUAAUUAACUUUUUCAGCAUGUUUGAUUAAUUUUUCAGCAUGUUUAGUUGACUUCCAACAUGCUAAAAUAGUAAUUCUCUACAUUUUCUACAUAUUAAUUUGUUCUCCACAUUUAAGUACAUCCCUAACAUGUUAACACAUUCUUUUAUAUUUUACUAAUUUCUUAUAUUCUCAUUAUGGUUUAUAACACUUAAUUCACGAGCACAUGUCUUGACACAAUUACCACACUCGUGACACCCCUCAUGAACACACAUCACAUUGUUGUAUCCACGAAUCACAGUUGUCCUUUAUCACCACUUGAUUGAACAUUUAGCCAGCAUGCCUAUAGGUUAAUGACAUAAUAAUAACUUAUUUGUCUUUGCAUGUAAUCACAUUAAUAAACGUUAAUUAAUCAAGAGGCAAACGUGGGACUAUUAUGUGCUAGUUGUUGUCCAAAGUGUUACGCGCUUCGAGUCCUAGGCAACAUAGCUUUACUUUUGUCUAGAACAAAAAUCCAAAAUAGUAAAGUCAAACGCCUCUUGGACGAUAGGCGGGACAUUAAGUAUUACUAAAAACAUCAGUUUUAUCCUUGUCGUAGAGUGCCCUUAGACUUGACCUUCAGCCUAGGCAGGGUAGGAUAGGUAGUCAUUCAAAAAUGAUGAUCCCAACAGAUAUUAACGGCGAGGCUAAUGACAUUAUUACUUGUCUAAGAGUUCGGUCCUUGGCUCGGAUGAUGACUAACAAGUUGGUUUCUGAUCCGAAUAA
This 834-nucleotide long non-coding RNA is filed under the name Capsicum annuum. RNAcentral's name for it is "long non-coding RNA (CANN_LNC008007)". Lineage: Eukaryota; Viridiplantae; Streptophyta; Magnoliopsida; Solanales; Solanaceae. The record is from RNAcentral.